Non-coding RNA from Theobroma cacao (cacao), 3188 nucleotides. The record is from RefSeq and is a predicted model, not a curated record. NCBI's taxonomy places the organism in Eukaryota, Viridiplantae, Streptophyta, Magnoliopsida, Malvales, Malvaceae.
CCUUCGUCGACACUCCACUCUCUCUCUCUCUCUCUCUCUUUUUCUCUCUGCGUUUUUAUCAAUCAUCUAAUUCACUCUCUUUCUCUCUCAGUAAAGAGUGAGGAUGAUGGUUUCGGAAAAGAGAGCUUUCGUUCAGCUCCUUUCCUUGUAUCUCUUCAUCCAAUUCUCAGUCACCGCUGCUAAGUUUUUCGAACCAUUCAACGUGACUUACGACCACAGAGCUCUGAUCAUCGAUGGCAAACGCCGCAUGCUCAUCUCAGCUGGAAUUCACUACCCUCGUGCCACUCCUCAGAUGUGGCCUGACCUGAUUGCAAAAAGCAAAGAAGGUGGAGCUGACGUGAUUGAAAGUUAUACAUUUUGGAAUGGGCAUGAACCCGUUAGAGGACAGUAUACUUUUGAAGGAAGGUUUGAUCUUGUCAAGUUUGUGAAGCUAGUGGGAGACAGUGGACUUUAUUUCCUUCUUCGCAUAGGUCCUUAUGUUUGUGCUGAGUGGAAUUUCGGGGGAUUUCCUGUCUGGCUGCGUGAUGUCCCUGGCAUAGAAUUUCGAACAGACAAUGAACCUUUUAAGAGGGAGAUGCAGCGCUUUGUAACAAAAAUUGUGGAUUUGCUGCGGGAGGAAAAGCUCUUUUCCUGGCAGGGUGGUCCUAUAAUUCUGUUGCAGAUUGAGAAUGAAUAUGGAAAUAUGGAGAGGUCAUAUGGCCAGAAGGGGAAAGAUUAUGUCAAGUGGGCUGCUAACAUGGCUCUGGGUCUUCGUGCUGGCGUUCCAUGGGUGAUGUGCAAGCAAACUGAUGCUCCAGGUGAUAUAAUAGAUACCUGCAACGAUUACUACUGUGAUGGUUAUAAACCAAAUUCCCCUAACAAACCAACGAUUUGGACAGAAAAUUGGGAUGGAUGGUACACAUCAUGGGGUGGAAGAUUGCCUCACAGACCUGUUGAAGAUCUUGCAUUUGCAAUCGCACGUUUUUUUCAGCGUGGAGGGAGCUUAAUGAACUAUUAUAUGUAUUUUGGUGGGACAAACUUUGGUCGUACUUCUGGAGGGCCCUUCUAUAUAACUAGUUAUGAUUAUGAUGCUCCAAUUGAUGAAUAUGGUUUGCUGAGUGAGCCGAAAUGGGGACACUUGAAAGAUCUUCAUGCUGCCAUUAGGCUCUGUGAACCUGCUCUAGUUGCUGCUGAUUUACCUCGGUAUAUGAAAUUGGGACCAAAGCAGGAGGCACAUUUAUACUGGGCAAAUAUCCAGACUAAUGGUCUGAACAAUACUCUUUCUGAAAGCCAAAGCGUGUGCUCCGCAUUUCUUGCAAAUAUUGAUGAGCAUAAAGCAGCAACUGUAACAUUCCGUGGUAAAUCAUACACCUUGCCACCGUGGUCAGUGAGCAUUUUACCUGACUGCAGGAACACAGCAUUCAACACCGCCAAGGUUGGAGCACAGACCUCCGUGAAACUGGUAGAGUAUGCCUUGUCUCCAAAAAUAUCUGUACCAGAAUUAGUGAUGACCAAAAAUGAAGUUUCCAGUAUCCCAGAGUCAUGGAUGUCUGUAAAUGAGCCAAUUGGUAUAUGGAGUGUGAACAACUUUACAUUUCAAGGCAUGUUGGAGCAUUUGAAUGUGACAAAGGAUGAAUCUGACUAUCUGUGGCAUAUGACCAGAAUAUAUGUUUCUGAUGAAGACAUCACAUUUUGGGAGGAAAAUCAAGUUAGCCCUACACUUGUUAUUGAUAGCAUGCGUGAUGUAUUGCGGGUAUUUAUUAACGGACAGCUUACAGGCAGUGUAAGUGGUCACUGGGUCAAGGUGGUCCAGCCUGUUCAAUUUCAGCAAGGUUACAGUGAUUUGAUUUUGUUAUCUCAGACAGUUGGUUUGCAGAACUACGGUGCCUUUCUAGAGAAAGAUGGUGCUGGGUUUAGAGGCCAAAUUAAGCUUACUGGAUUUAAAAAUGGGGAUAUAGACCUUUCCAAGCUUUCAUGGACUUACCAGGUUGGUCUGAAGGGUGAGUUCCAGAAAAUAUUCACCAUAGAAGAAAAUGAGAAGGCAGGAUGGACAAAGUUGAAGCGUGAUGCUACUCCCUCCACAUUUACUUGGUACAAGGCAUACUUUGAUGCGCCUGAUGGAAAAGAGCCAGUUGCUUUUGAUUUAGGAAGCAUGGGAAAGGGCCAAGCAUGGGUCAACGGCCACCAUAUUGGAAGAUACUGGAAUCUAGUUGCCCCAAAAGAUGGAUGUUCAAAAAGCUGUGAUUAUCGUGGAGCAUAUAAUCCAAAUAAGUGCAUGACAAAUUGUGGGAAGCCUACUCAAUCCUGGUAUUAUCUCCACUGGAAGCGUACCACAUACCGCGGUCAUGGUUACAGGCAACAAACAAUUUACUUGUGAUAUUUGAGGAAAAUGGUGGGAACCCGUUUGAGAUUUCAGUCAAAUUACGUGUGCCCCGAAUUCUCUGUGCUCAAGUCUCUGAGUCCCACUAUCCGCGUCUGCAAAAAUGGUUCCAUCCAGAUGUUAUUCAUGGAAAAGUGUCCAUAAGUGAUAUGAAACCAGAAAUUCACUUGCAGUGUGAAGAGGGGCAUAUAAUCUCCUCCAUAGAAUUUGCUAGCUAUGGAACUCCUCAUGGCAGCUGCCAGAAUUUUUCUGAAGGCAAUUGCCACUCGCAAAAUUCAUUGUCCAUGGUAUCCAAGGCUUGCAAGGGAAGAAACAGUUGUGUUAUUGAAGUUUCAAACUCUGGGUUUGGAGGUGACCCAUGUAGAGGUAUUGUCAAGACAUUGGCAAUUGAGGCGAGAUGUGUCUCAUCAUCAACUAUUGGAGUCUCCCAGUUCUAAAAUCACAAGCAGCUGGUGCAAUGAAGAUAGUUGUUGACCGGAAACAACCUCUAUUUGUAGCCAACCAGUUGUGAUGGGCAUUUCCGUUACAUAAUGUGCACAAAAUUGCAUGCUCAAACCUCUGCUGUUGGGUUCUCCACCCUAUUUGUGCAUGCAGGUUUUCUGAUUAAUGUAUUUAUAAAUAAAUCGUGUAUUAUAUGUAAUAAUGUGGCGAACCUCAUCUCUCAACUUGGAAAAUUGAAGGGGAGAAAUAGGGUCAGGUUCUUCAACGAUUACUUUAAACCUGGAUUCUGGAUUGUAAUGGCGAAGCCAUGUUAUUUGAUGUUGUGAAUCACAUGUAUAUACAUGAUACUACUUUGACAAUCGAAUCACGGUAGAAUUCUGGCUGCUUC